Molecule: ribosomal RNA, 506 nt
Filed under: uncultured bacterium
Lineage: Bacteria
Description: partial 16S ribosomal RNA
Rfam family: Bacterial small subunit ribosomal RNA
Source: RNAcentral
GAUGAACGCUAGCUACAGGCUUAACACAUGCAAGUCGAGGGGUAACGAGAGGGAAGCUUGCUUUCCUUGUCGACGACCGGCGCACGGGUGAGUAACGCGUAUCCAACCUGCCCCCAACUAGGGAAUAACCUUGCGAAAGUAAGACUAAUACCCUAUAAUUUCCUCAGAUGUCAUCUGACGAGGAAUAAAGAUUUAUCGGUUGUGGAUGGGGAUGCGUCUGAUUAGCUUGUUGGCGGGGUAACGGCCCACCAAAGCAACGAUCAGUAGGGGUUCUGAGAGGAAGGUCCCCCACAUUGGAACUGAGACACGGUCCAAACUCCUACGGGAGGCAGCAGUGAGGAAUAUUGGUCAAUGGGCGGAAGCCUGAACCAGCCAAGUAGCGUGCAGGAUGACGGCCCUAUGGGUUGUAAACUGCUUUUAUACAGGAAUAAAGUUAGCCACGUGUGGUUAUUUGUAGGUACUGUAUGAAUAAGGACCGGCUAGUUCCGUGCCAGCAGCCGCGGUAA